AGUGAAUGCUGGCGGUAGGCCUAACACAUGCAAGUCGAACGGCAGCACAGUAAGAGCUUGCUCUUACGGGUGGCGAGUGGCGGACGGGUGAGGAAUACAUCGGAAUCUACUUUUUCGUGGGGGAUAACGUAGGGAAACUUACGCUAAUACCGCAUACGACCUACGGGUGAAAGCAGGGGAUCUUCGGACCUUUCGCGAUUGAAUGAGCCGAUGUCGGAUUAGCUAGUUGGCGGGGUAAAGGCCCACCAAGGCGACGAUCCGUAGCUGGUCUGAGAGGAUGAUCAGCCACACUGGAACUGAGACACGGUCCAGACUCCUACGGGAGGCAGCAGUGGGGAAUAUUGGACAAUGGGCGCAAGCCUGAUCCAGCCAUACCGCGUGGGUGAAGAAGGCCUUCGGGUUGUAAAGCCCUUUUGUUGGGAAAGAAAAGCAGCAGGUUAAUACCCCGCUGUUCUGACGGUACCCAAAGAAUAAGCACCGGCUAACUUCGUG
Molecule: ribosomal RNA, 492 nt
Filed under: uncultured bacterium
Lineage: Bacteria
Description: partial 16S ribosomal RNA
Rfam family: Bacterial small subunit ribosomal RNA
Source: RNAcentral